GUUGAACGCUGGCGGCGUGCCUAAUACAUGCAAGUCGAGCGAUCACAGGAGGAGCUUUCCUCUUUUGCUUUAGCGUCGCACGCGUGAGUGACAUGUGUGGAACACUGCUAGAUGACUGGGAAAACCUCCUGAAACCGGUGCUAAUACCGGCAUAUCGUUUCAACAGCAUGGAGCAAGAGUGAAGGACGGCCUUCCUUCGGCUGUUCGCUGAUUCCGCUCUGCAUUAGCUAGUAGGUAGGGUAACGGCUUACCAAGGCAACGAUGCCUAGCCGAUCUGAGAGGGUGACCAGCCACACUGGAACUGAGACACGGUCCAGACUCCUACGGGAGGCAGCAGUGGGGAAUCUUGCGCAAUGGGCGAAAGCCUGACGCAGCCAUGCCGCGUGAAUGAUGAAGGUCUUCGGAUCGUAAAACACUGUUAGCAGGGAAGAAGAUAGGAGAAAGAAUCUCUUUACACAUUGACGUUACCUAAACAGAAAGCCACGGCUAACUCCGUG
RNAcentral lists this ribosomal RNA (497 nucleotides) under uncultured bacterium. RNAcentral's name for it is "partial 16S ribosomal RNA". It matches the Rfam family "Bacterial small subunit ribosomal RNA", at positions 28 to 507 of the family's 1533-position model. The record is from RNAcentral.